GACGAACGCUGGCGGCGUGCUUAACACAUGCAAGUCGAACGGAAAGGCCCUGCUUUUGUGUGGUGCUCGAGUGGCGAACGGGUGAGUAACACGUGAGUAACCUGCCCUUGACUUUGGGAUAACUUCAGGAAACUGGGGCUAAUACCGGAUAGGAGCUCCUGCUGCAUGGGGGGGGUUGGAAAGUUUCGGCGGUUGGGGAUGGACUCGCGGCUUAUCAGCUUGUUGGUGGGGUAGUGGCUUACCAAGGCUUUGACGGGUAGCCGGCCUGAGAGGGUGACCGGCCACAUUGGGACUGAGAUACGGCCCAGACUCCUACGGGAGGCAGCAGUGGGGAAUAUUGCACAAUGGGCGGAAGCCUGAUGCAGCAACGCCGCGUGCGGGAUGACGGCCUUCGGGUUGUAAACCGCUUUCGCCUGUGACGAAGCGUGAGUGACGGUAAUGGGUAAAGAAGCACCGGCUAACUACGUG
Molecule: ribosomal RNA, 468 nt
Filed under: uncultured bacterium
Lineage: Bacteria
Description: partial 16S ribosomal RNA
Rfam family: Bacterial small subunit ribosomal RNA
Source: RNAcentral